RNAcentral lists this ribosomal RNA (433 nucleotides) under uncultured bacterium. RNAcentral describes it as "partial 16S ribosomal RNA". It matches the Rfam family "Bacterial small subunit ribosomal RNA", at positions 28 to 507 of the family's 1533-position model. The record is from RNAcentral.
GACGAACGCUGGCGGCAUGCCUAACACAUGCAAGUCGAACGAGACCUUCGGGUCUAGUGGCGCACGGGUGCGUAACGCGUGGGAACCUGCCCUUAGGUUCGGAAUAACUCCCCGAAAGGGGUGCUAAUACCGGAUAAUGUCUUCGGACCAAAGAUUUAUCGCCUUUGGAUGGGCCCGCGUUGGAUUAGCUAGUUGGUAGGGUAAAAGCCUACCAAGGCGACGAUCCAUAGCUGGUCUGAGAGGAUGAUCAGCCACACUGGGACUGAGACACGGCCCAGACUCCUACGGGAGGCAGCAGUGGGGAAUAUUGGACAAUGGGCGAAAGCCUGAUCCAGCAAUGCCGCGUGAGUGAUGAAGGCCUUAGGGUUGUAAAGCUCUUUUACCCGGGACGAUAAUGACAGUACCGGGAGAAUAAGCUCCGGCUAACUCCGUG